UCAGUUCCUGUCUUCUUGAAAGGAAGAUUUCAGUCAAGAGACAAAGUGCAGCAAAGCAAGAAUUUAUUGGCUGCAGCAAAAACACACUUAGGAAGGUAGGAAUAUUAGGGGAAGUUUCAGGAGAGGGUCUCAAUAGAAUAAUCAGCUUUCCAGGAACCAGCUAACAGAGGUGAGAAGAUGACUGUUACCCCUUUUUCCUGAUAAAGGAACUUGGCAAUGACAAGAGAACAUUCAACAGCCAGAGUGAUGUAAUCAUCUGAUCAGACUCAGAGUUUGCAAAAUCUUCUGUUCUCAU
This is a long non-coding RNA of Myotis davidii, 295 nucleotides long. RefSeq lists it as uncharacterized. Lineage: Eukaryota; Metazoa; Chordata; Mammalia; Chiroptera; Vespertilionidae. The record is from RefSeq and is a predicted model, not a curated record. The transcript has 3 exons.